UCGUGUGCUUGGCUUGAGGUCGAGGAACUGAGGAGGAAUAGGCGGCGGUGCAGGACUCGACGGGUAGAUAACGCGGUGGCCCGACCAAGCAGUAGGUGGGGACGCGGAGGAUCAGGGGGACGGUUAGAGGUGGUGGAGGUGGGAGUAUGAUGACCAGGACGGUCACGCGGCGACGGGCGGCGGCCACUUGCGGGAGGCGUUCCUGACGGUGGCCGGGGAGACGACGCCGCGAGGAGCCGGCAGGGGCCGGGAGACGGAUCAGCGAUCCCUGCACCACGAGGAGACGAGGUCGGUCGGGGGGCGCGGCCAAGACCGUCAGACGAGGCUAGAGAGGGCCACCACGAGCGGACGAACCGGCCUAAGACGGUGGGUCCUGAAGGGCAGUUGUUUAUCGUUCGAUCGACCCUGUGUCUUUAUCUUCCCCUUCUAUAUAAAGUAACCACGGGAGUUGCCUUCACACAUGUGGGCCACAAAGUCAACCAGACUUAGUUGAGGUCUUUAAAUUUGUUGGUAUCUAACCUGGUGGUGGAAACUAAAGUUUAUUGGGCGGAAGUUAGAGUUAGCUCUUUCAUUGAGACAACAUAGGGUAUGACAAAAAACUUCAAAAAUCGUAGAAAAAUAGUUAAAACAACAUACUAAUUCUUAAAACACUAGUAACCGGAAAAAAAAUGGAAGACAACAUGGAACUAAAAACAUAUACCACGAAUAGACUCUACGAGUGUUCUAGUAGUUAUUGUACUACUAUAUUUCGUCCCUUCAAUUGUAUCAACAAAUAAUUUCGUGGGAUAUUAUACCAAAAAUACGAAUCAAACCUAUGAAUCUAUCAGGUUGUUAGAAUCAUCAACGUCUUCCUUUAUUCAGGGAAGUCGCUAAUCUUUCUUUUUCAAAAAGAUCUAUUAGCUUCCAGAACGUAUCUAUUAUAGUUAGUACACAGGACAAAAUAUAAGACAAACAAGUACACCACACACAAAGGAAAGCUACAUCGGUCUCAACCCUAAUCCCCCUCUUUCUACCAUGGUAUACACGUUGACAUAACUUGACUCACCGCGGAAACGUAUGAUCAAUUAGGAUGGUUACGGUGUAAAUAAAACUUCAAAAAAUCAGGUUGCAAUUACUUUAUACAAACCUAGGUUAGUAAGUUAAUUUUAUAGAUACAUAAGGUACGAAAAGAAAGUUUCUCUAAAUUUAGUCGAAAGUAGAGAAUUUAUUGUGUACAUUUUAAUAUACGACUGUAUACAAAAAAACAAAGUAAUGAAUCCGUAUAGUUUCCCGCUACCUAGCUCCAACCUACUCAGUUGGUUCUCGAUCACGACGAAUGUUUCUACCACAGCUCGUUAAAGACAGAAAACGUAAGGCACUACAAGGCCGACCACUAUCUUAAGGAACAGGAACACAUUUAACGGUUUUAUUUCGAUACGUCUCAAUACUACCUCACUUUCUGAGUGAACUCUACACUACCAUAAGAAGGUCCAAUGUGAUUCACCCAAACGGUACCUCUCCUAAUGUCACUUGGUAGUAAACGUAAACGAGUACAUAAUCUAUUAUCACCGUUAGAAAGAUAAGGACCG
Molecule: ribosomal RNA, 1568 nt
Filed under: Triticum aestivum (bread wheat)
Lineage: Eukaryota; Viridiplantae; Streptophyta; Magnoliopsida; Poales; Poaceae
Description: partial small subunit ribosomal RNA
Source: RNAcentral